RNAcentral lists this ribosomal RNA (396 nucleotides) under uncultured bacterium. RNAcentral's name for it is "bacterial SSU rRNA". It matches the Rfam family "Bacterial small subunit ribosomal RNA", at positions 32 to 418 of the family's 1533-position model. The record is from RNAcentral.
AAUCAACGCUGGCGGCGUGCCUCAGACAUGCAAGUCGUACGAUUAAAGCUCUCUUCGGAGAGUGUAUAGAGUGGCGCACGGGUGAGUAACACGUAAGUAAUCUACCUUCGAGUGGGGAAUAACAGUCGGAAACGACUGCUAAUACCGCAUAAUGCAGCGGCACCUAAUGGUGACAGUUGUUAAAGCAUUUAUGUGCUUGAAGAGGAGCUUGCGGCAGAUUAACUAGUUGGUAAGGUAAUGGCUUACCAAGGCAACGAUCUGUAGCCGACCUGAGAGGGUGGUCGGUCACACUGACACUGAAUAACGGGUCAGACUCCUACGGGAGGCAGCAGUGGGGAAUCUUGCGCAAUGGGCGAAAGCCUGACGCAGCGACGCCGCGUGAGGGAUGACGGCCUC